GGUUAAGCGACUAAGCGUACACGGUGGAUGCCCUGGCAGUCAGAGGCGAUGAAGGACGUGCUAAUCUGCGAUAAGCGUCGGUAAGGUGAUAUGAACCGUUAUAACCGGCGAUUUCCGAAUGGGGAAACCCAGUGUGUUUCGACACACUAUCAUUAACUGAAUCCAUAGGUUAAUGAGGCGAACCGGGGGAACUGAAACAUCUAAGUACCCCGAGGAAAAGAAAUCAACCGAGAUUCCCCCAGUAGCGGCGAGCGAACGGGGAGCAGCCCAGAGCCUGAAUCAGUAUGUGUGUUAGUGGAAGCGUCUGGAAAGGCGCGCGAUACAGGGUGACAGCCCCGUACACAAAAAUGCACAUAUUGUGAGCUCGAUGAGUAGGGCGGGACACGUGGUAUCCUGUCUGAAUAUGGGGGGACCAUCCUCCAAGGCUAAAUACUCCUGACUGACCGAUAGUGAACCAGUACCGUGAGGGAAAGGCGAAAAGAAC
Molecule: ribosomal RNA, 484 nt
Filed under: Escherichia coli
Lineage: Bacteria; Pseudomonadati; Pseudomonadota; Gammaproteobacteria; Enterobacterales; Enterobacteriaceae
Description: partial 23S ribosomal RNA
Rfam family: Bacterial large subunit ribosomal RNA
Source: RNAcentral